AAAAUGUGAUAAUCAUUGUGACUAGCAGAAUUCAGCGAAUCAAUAGAAAGCUCAACGCACACGGCACUGCGGUUCGCCGCAGUAGGCCUGCAUCAGUGUCAUUUACAAUCUUUUUUUCCAUUUUUGGAAUUAAAGGCAAGGCUUUGCUCAUUUUAUUUAUUUUUGAAUAGAAUUGGCAGAGGAUGUGUUUGAAUGUGUCUUACAAAAACAGAUCUGCAUAGAAAUGUUGAGUAUUGAAGCAUUCACUUACAAGCAUUGGACCUGAUGUCAGACCAGGCUACCCGCUGAACUUAA
This 294-nucleotide unclassified non-coding RNA is filed under the name uncultured fungus. RNAcentral's name for it is "sequence contains ITS1". The stretch from base 1 to 101 matches the Rfam family "5.8S ribosomal RNA", at positions 50 to 154 of the family's 154-position model. The record is from RNAcentral. Lineage: Eukaryota; Fungi.